Small nucleolar RNA from Papaver somniferum (opium poppy), 109 nucleotides. RefSeq annotates it as small nucleolar RNA Z107/R87. The record is from RefSeq and is a predicted model, not a curated record. NCBI's taxonomy places the organism in Eukaryota, Viridiplantae, Streptophyta, Magnoliopsida, Ranunculales, Papaveraceae. The transcript has a single exon.
GAUUGCAGUGAUGACUCCAUAAAAUUCAAGCUCAACAGACCGGAUUGCAGGUUUUUCUCGGUCGAGGAAAAUUAUUUGCGUGUCGAUACACCCGCUGAGCUGAGCAAUA